RNAcentral lists this ribosomal RNA (305 nucleotides) under uncultured bacterium. RNAcentral's name for it is "bacterial SSU rRNA". It matches the Rfam family "Bacterial small subunit ribosomal RNA", at positions 338 to 641 of the family's 1533-position model. The record is from RNAcentral.
CCUACGGGGGGCAGCAGUGAGGAAUAUUGGUCAAUGGGCGGGAGCCUGAACCAGCCAAGCCGCGUGAAGGAAGAAGGCGCCAGGCGUCGUAAACUUCUUUUGUCGGGGAACAAAGGGCGCCACGCGUGGCGUUGUGAGUGUACCCGAAGAAAAAGCAUCGGCUAACUCCGUGCCAGCAGCCGCGGUAAUACGGAGGAUGCGAGCGUUAUCCGGAUUUAUUGGGUUUAAAGGGUGCGUAGGCGGUCCGGAAAGUCAGCGGUAAAAGCCCGGGGCUCAACCCCGGCGAGCCGUUGAAACUGUCGGAC